Bactrocera neohumeralis is the source of this 4951-nucleotide long non-coding RNA. RefSeq lists it as uncharacterized. The record is from RefSeq and is a predicted model, not a curated record. Lineage: Eukaryota; Metazoa; Arthropoda; Insecta; Diptera; Tephritidae. The transcript has 4 exons.
AGAGUAAUAUAGAGUUUGCUUUUGAUUUUGUAGAUACAAAGACAGAUUCACCACAGAAUUGGAUCAUUAUAACCUUUAUAAGAUGCACAGCAUAAAUUUGGUCGACGUCAAGAGAUAAAUGAAACAAUGAAAAGAGCAAUUCUUCGAGAUCUGCAGAAACUGCUUAAUGACAUCAUGCGCUGGUCAGGCUGUUUAAGAAUACUUUGGAGCGCAUGCCAAAUGAUGACUACAAAGUCAGGAUUCAUCUAGAACACACGCCCGCACACUUAAGCCUCUAACAAUAUAUGGAGUUUCCAUUUUGCUUGUUGGUUAAAACUUGAAAACAUGCGAUAUUAUAUGUCGCGAAACUGGGUAACUGCAACAAAUAUCUGAAACACAUCGUUCAAAUGACACGUUGCAAUACUCGCUGAUGUUUUGGCAAGGUGAAGAAACUUCCAAGAAGGUUAGCUUGAUGAAUUAUUACGCCAACGUCAUUUGAGUCACUACGGAUUGUUAAUGCUAUAGUAUUCCCAACAUAUCGUGCUGCAUGUAAAGAACUAAAUUUACUUUGGAAACGACAACUGAUGAAGCAAUUAUAUCUGCACCUCCAAGUUAGAUACGAACAUUAUGUGCUAUCAUCAUUUCGACAUGCUUUCUAUCGAACCCAUCUAAGCUGUGGCACAAAUACAAGGAUAAUAUGCCAGGAGACAUUUUACAGCAAAUUCGUCUCAGUUCAAGAAAUCCCCACCUUCAGAUGAAUGAGGAGAUACAUAAUCGGGCUUUGUUCUUGAUCGAAGCCAUGUGUUACCUCAUGUUCGGUAAUUUAUUAGUCAUAUUAUGAAUGAAAGCGCCAAAUCAUGAAAUGCAUGAUGCAUUUAAUCGAAAAUUUGAACGGGAAAGUAAAUAUGAUCACCAGGAAUUAGAUUUAAUAAUUCGGACGAAUGUACCUCUGUUGAAUUACCAACAAAAGGAAAUUUCUAAUAUAUUGAUCACGGCCAUUGAUAAUGGAAAUGGUAGUUUAUAUUUCCUGGUAAGACAUUUCUCAUGUCAGUAGUUUUAGCCACUGUUCGUGCGAGAUACAAAAUUGUGGUGGCAGUUAGUUGUUACGAAAUAGCAGCAACAUUGUUAGAAGGAUGCCGUAUCGCUCAUUCAGCAUUAAAAUUACCGUUAAAUCUUCAAACUAUGGAAGAACAAACAUGUACUAUUGCAAAUCCCUCCACAAUGGGCAAAGUUUUAACAGCAUCUGAGACGAAUGCAGUUUAUAAAUGGAAGCAUAAAACGGAACAUUGAAAUAUCUACGCAAUGACUUGAGAUGUUUUGAAGGCGCAAUGAUUUUACGGCCUGGAGAUUUCCGCCAAACACUACCACUAAUACUAAGAUCAACUUAUGCAGAUGAGAUAAACGAUUGCCUCAAAUAAUCGAGUAUAUGGCGUUAUGUGAAGAAAUUGGAGCUGCCAACAAACAUGAAGUUGCACUGAUGAACGAUACAUCUGCUAAAGAUUUCUCUGAGAAAUUACUGAUUAUAGGUAAUGGUCGAUUACCUGUCGACGUAUCUAGCGGAUUGAUUUCAUUUCCACAGAAUUUCUGUAACUUUGCCUCAUCAAAAGAUGAACUGAUUAACAAAAUAUUCCCAAACAUCAUUUCAAACAACAAAAUGAAUGAAUGGUUGAGUUAGCGGGCAAUUUUGACGGCUAAGAACAAAGAUGUAGAUGAUAAUUCAGAAUGAGAUCAUUUGUAGACUGCAUUCUUUCAAAUCAAUUGAUUGUGUAACAAUUGAAAAUGAAGUUACUAACUAUUCAAUUGAAUUUUAAAACUCCUUGGAUAUGCCAGGUUUACCACAGCACAAUUUACGACUAAAGGUUGGCUACAUAGUAACCAUGCUUCAAAGUAUAGACCAACCAAAACAGUACGACGAAACGCGUUUGGUAUUAAGGAACUUGAUGAAUAAUGUGAUUUAUGCGACGAUACUCAAAGGAAAAUUCCAAGGAUCCCGAUGAUCCCAACCGACAUGCCGUUUGAGUUUAAACGACUUCAAACAAACUCCAAGGCCAAUUCUUCUAGAAAGUCAUUGUUUUCCCCAUGGUAAAUUAUAUGUGGCAUGUUCGGGUCGUUAUUUGUUCUUGCACCUGAUAAUAAAACGAAAACUGUCGUCUAUCAUAAGGUGCUUCACUAAAAAGUGGAAUAUACAUACAUAUGUACUAAAAUACAUGAUCCUUAAAAUGCUUGCAUCUUCAAUUUACCUAUAUAUAUUAAUCAAUCGUGAAACCAUUAUCUCUGCAUAUCUAAGUCAAAUAUGGACAACGGCAAGGGACUGAAGACCAUCCCUGUUUCUUGUUAUUGCGCCUGAUAAUUAAACAAAAAAUAUCGCAUAUGACAAGCUAAGGCAAAACAGAAUUCGAUAGGUCCUCCAGUAACUUAAUAAUAUUUUUCCCUGGAAAUUUGUAAGAGUAUAACAUAACUCUAGCAACCUGUUGCUACAGAGUAUAAUAGUUUGUACGUAUCACCUGAAACUAAGUGAUAUAUAUAUAUAUAUAUAUAUCAAUAUAUAUAUUGUUUAAAUGAGUUAAGGAUCCACCCGCUCUUCUCGGUAAAACUGGCGCAUCCUAAUGCAACAGCGCAAUUCACCACACCACACCAACACAACUCAUCACACUUGUUCCCACUCAACAAAAAGGAUGGACAACGGGAUGGGACUCUCAAUUCGCUUUUCACAAGCCGCGCAUCAACAUUCACGCAUUAAAAUUCGCUACAAACAUUCGCACGUUAACAUCCGUCUACUUUUACAAUCUGCACUGCGCCGCGUCAACAUACGUUCCGGUUAUUCGCCGAUCCUGAGUGCUACGUUAGUUCGAUUCAUCAGCACUACGUCAAGUCAUCGAUCCAUCAGUAGCCACCGGGCUGCAUUCGCGGGAGACAUCAUUUCACGGUCCUGAAACUGGACACCGUCUCUUCGACUUGCUGUUGAUAAUCUUUUUACAUACUUAUAUGUAUUUAUAUUCGGCAUUUGUAUUGUGCGUUACAUAUUUUUUUACCUACUAAAUUAAACCGAAUUUAAACAUAAAUUGCGCUUGCAGUUUUUGUAAACACAAAGUGGCGGUGAGUGAAUGAUUUUGGGUCAACUGGUGGGUGCACAUUUAACUAUGGUCCUUCGAGCCCCAAAGAAAGGCACUAUGUGAAAUGCAAAAUUAAAUAAAUAUGGAUACAUAUGCUAGUGUGGUGGCAAAAUAAAAAAAAGAAUAAACAAAGUGCUGUGACCCAAACAGAACAAAAAUAAAAAACAAAACCAAAGUGCAUUUAAAAGACUAAGUUACCAAGCAGUUUAAAAAACAAAAACACGGUGAAGUGACAAAAAUAACAAAUAAUAAACGUUCAAACAUAAGACACAAAACAAAAAAUCAAGUUGGUGACUCGGCAAAAAUAUAUGCAUAUACAUAUGUACAUAUGUAUGCAAUUACCAUAAUUGCGGAGACAAAAACAUAAACUUACAAAAACAAAAUAUAUAAUACUUUACAAACACAAAAAAAAAAACUAAAUUAGGAGCGACCAGUAAAACAAAUAUAGAUAUACACAUACAAACAUCCAUAAAAGUGUAGCGCAAAUCAAUAAAAUUAUAAUGAAAGAGCGGGCGCGAAAUACAAACUAAAAUAAUAUUUUGCGGGCGCGAAUCGAAAAAAAAACCAACAAAAUACAUAACUGCAAAGAACGGCCGCGAAAUAAUCAAACAGAAACUGAAAACAUCAAGCAACAACAAGCACAACAAAGGACUGGAAGAAAAGCCAAAGGCACAAGCACAAGCACACGCACGUACAAAUAUCCAUAUAUGUACAUACCUUCAUAGUUCCCUGCCGGAAAGUGAGUUGUAUCGAUUCCCUUUAAUAUUUAUAUAUUUGCUUAUAUGUAUGUAUGUUUCAAAAGCACAAAAUUAAAUUUGUGUUUCUAACCAAAAUUCCGUUGGUAUACAAACAAAAAAAAAAAAAAUAUCACCAAACUCUUUUAACAAAGAAAAUAGUUUGGUAAUAUAUAUAGCAAAUAAUUGAUGCCGACAAAUGCUUACAGUUGUGUUAAAACACACAAAAUAUUUCCACAGCACAAAAAUAAAAAAGUUCAAGUAUUAACUUGCAAUACGUUUCGACAAUACCCCAUAUAUUUAACAAAACAAUAAGCGGGACUGCAUAAACCAAAUAAGCAAAGGCACAAACAUUAAUCAAAAUUAUAACAUAUGAAACAAAACAAAAAAACACAUACAUACAUAUAUAUAUGCAAAUUUUCUAAUGCGAUACUAUUUAUAUAUUUACAUACAAAAUACAUACAAAGUGCAUACGGGAGAAUAACUGCACAUUCUUCAUUUCGCCUUUGCACUCUCUUCGCAGUGCGAACAUAUAGUACAUAAAGACGGCAAACAAUCACUCGGUGCCAUUAUACCCUACACUGGGUAUUAAUACACAAAAAAUACGUAAUCUUAAAGUAAAAAAAAGGCCGUUUUAAAAUUCACUUAGAACACGGCGGUAAAGUGAAAAAAAAAAAAAUUUCCCCUAAUUUUAUCUUUUUUGUUAAAAACAGAAUACAAAAAGUCAGUAAAACAAAAUCUACAUAAUUUGUGAACACUGUAUAUGCAAACAUACAUACAUAUAUUAAAACAUAUAAAUCUUCAAAGUCCACAUUGGCAUCUAUUCGGCAGUACUUCUUGUUCUUUGGCAAACAAAAACAAGCAGGAUUGCGUACAAAAAGCGAAUUGAUCUCUCUAACGAGCUCUCAAUUGCUUAAGAACAUAACUUAGAAAUACAUACAAACAAUUUGUGCAUGCUAAUGUAAAAAGCGAAUUGAUCUCUUCAACGAGCUCUCAAUAAAUAUAAGUACAUACAUACGUACAUAUGUAUAAACAAGCCUGAGUAUUUGGGUGUACCUAAAUACAAAAUAUUCGGUCAUCAAAUAUUUUAAUAUAUAAAAAAAGGGGGUUUAAUAAUCAUUAACA